RNAcentral lists this ribosomal RNA (406 nucleotides) under uncultured bacterium. RNAcentral's name for it is "partial 16S ribosomal RNA". It matches the Rfam family "Bacterial small subunit ribosomal RNA", at positions 30 to 526 of the family's 1533-position model. The record is from RNAcentral.
AUUGAACGCUGGCGGCAGGCUUAACACAUGCAAGUCGAACGAGUGGCGGACGGGUGUGUAAUGUCUGGGAAACUGCCUGAUGGAGGGGGAUAACUACUGGAAACGGUAGCUAAUACCGCAUACCAUCAGAUGUGCCCAGAUGGGAUUAGCUUGUUGGUGGGGUAACGGCUCACCAAGGCGACGAUACCUAGCUGGUCUGAGAGGAUGACCGGCCACAAGGGAGGUGAGCCACGGUCCAGGAGCCUACGGGAGGCAGCAGUGGGGAAUAUUGCACAAUGAGCGAAAGCCUGAUGCAGCCAUGCCGCGUGUAUGAAGAAGGACUUCGAGUUGUAAAGUACUUUCGGCGGGGAGGCGUUACCCGCAGAAGAAGCACCGGCUAACUCCGUGCCAGCAGCCGCGGUAAUAC